This 1048-nucleotide ribosomal RNA is filed under the name uncultured archaeon. RNAcentral describes it as "bacterial SSU rRNA". It matches the Rfam family "Archaeal small subunit ribosomal RNA", at positions 88 to 1142 of the family's 1478-position model. The record is from RNAcentral.
GCUCAGUAACACGUGGAUAAUCUGCCCUAUGGUGGAGGAUAACCCCGGGAAACUGGGGAUAAUACUCCAUAAGUCAGGAGUACUGGAAUGUCUCCUAACUGAAAGUUUCGGCGCCAUAGGAUGAAUCUGCGGCCGAUUAGGUAGUUGUUGGGGUAACGGCCCAACAAGCCCGUAAUCGGUACGGGUUGUGGGAGCAAGAGCCCGGAGAUGGAAUCUGAGACACGAUUCCAGGCCCUACGGGGCGCAGCAGGCGCGAAAACUUUACAAUGCAGGAAACUGUGAUAAGGGAACCCCGAGUGCCCGUACACGCGGGCUGUCCCGGUGUUUAAAACACAUCGGAAGAAAGGGCCGGGCAAGACCGGUGCCAGCCGCCGCGGUAAUACCGGCGGCUCGAGUGGUGACCACUUUUAUUGGGCUUAAAGCGUUCGUAGCUUGAUUUUUAAGUCUCUUGGGAAAUCUCACGGCUUAACUGUGAGGCGUCUAAGAGAUACUGGGAAUCUAGGGACCGGGAGAGGUAAGAGGUACUUCAGGGGUAGAAGUGAAAUUCUGUAAUCCUUGAGGGACCACCGAUGGCGAAGGCAUCUUACCAGAACGGCUUCGACAGUGAGGAACGAAAGCUGGGGGAGCGAACGGGAUUAGAUACCCCGGUAGUCCCAGCCGUAAACUAUGCGCGUUAGGUGUGCCUGUAACUACGAGUUACCGGGGUGCCGAAGUGAAAACGUGAAACGUGCCGCCUGGGAAGUACGGUCGCAAGGCUGAAACUUAAAGGAAUUGGCGGGGGAGCACCACAACGGGUGGAGCCUGCGGUUUAAUUGGACUCAACGCCGGGCAGCUCACCGGAUAGGACAGCGGAAUGAUAGCCGGGCUGAAGACCUUGCUUGACCAGCUGAGAGGAGGUGCAUGGCCGUCGUCAGUUCGUACUGUGAAGCAUCCUGUUUAGUCAGGCAACGAGCGAGACCCACGCCAACAGUUGCUAGCAUGUUCUCCGGAAUGAUGAGGACACUGUUGGGACCGCCUCUGCUAAAGAGGAGAAGGAGUGGACGACGGU